This 340-nucleotide ribosomal RNA is filed under the name uncultured bacterium. RNAcentral's name for it is "bacterial SSU rRNA". It matches the Rfam family "Bacterial small subunit ribosomal RNA", at positions 28 to 363 of the family's 1533-position model. The record is from RNAcentral.
GACGAACGCUGGCGGCGUGCCUAAUACAUGCAAGUAGAACGCUGAAGAGAGGAGCUUGCUCUUCUUGGAUGAGUUGCGAACGGGUGAGUAACGCGUAGGUAACCUGCCUUGUAGCGGGGGAUAACAGUCAGAAAUGGCUGCUAAUACCGCAUAAGCGCACGGAACCGCAUGGUUCUGUGUGAAAAACUCCGGUGGUAUAAGAUGGACCCGCGUUGGAUUAGCUUGUUGGCAGGGUAACGGCCUACCAAGGCGACGAUCCAUAGCCGGCCUGAGAGGGUGAACGGCCACAUUGGGACUGAGACACGGCCCAGACUCCUACGGGAGGCAGCAGUGGGGAAUA